AGUGAACGCUGGCGGUAGGCCUAACACAUGCAAGUCGAACGGCAGCACAGGAGAGCUUGCUCUCUGGGUGGCGAGUGGCGGACGGGUGAGGAAUACAUCGGAAUCUACUUUUUCGUGGGGGAUAACGUAGGGAAACUUACGCUAAUACCGCAUACGACCUACGGGUGAAGGCAGGGGAUCUUCGGACCUUGCGCGAUUGAAUGAGCCGAUGUCGGAUUAGCUAGUUGGCGGGGUAAAGGCCCACCAAGGCGACGAUCCGUAGCUGGUCUGAGAGGAUGAUCAGCCACACUGGAACUGAGACACGGUCCAGACUCCAACGGGAGGCAGCAGUGGGGAAUAUUGGACAAUGGGCGCAAGCCUGAUCCAGCCAUACCGCGUGGGUGAAGAAGGCCUUCGGGUUGUAAAGCCCUUUUGUUGGGAAAGAAAUCCAGCUGGUUAAUACCCGGUUGGGAUGACGGUACCCAAAGAAUAAGCACCGGCUAACUUCGUGCCAGCAGCCGCGGUAA
This 506-nucleotide ribosomal RNA is filed under the name uncultured bacterium. RNAcentral's name for it is "partial 16S ribosomal RNA". It matches the Rfam family "Bacterial small subunit ribosomal RNA", at positions 29 to 523 of the family's 1533-position model. The record is from RNAcentral.